Molecule: ribosomal RNA, 781 nt
Filed under: uncultured bacterium
Lineage: Bacteria
Description: bacterial SSU rRNA
Rfam family: Bacterial small subunit ribosomal RNA
Source: RNAcentral
AGAGUUUGAUCCUGGCUCAGAUUGAACGCUGGCGGCAUGCCUUACACAUGCAAGUCGAACGGCAGCACGGAGCUUGCUCUGGUGGCGAGUGGCGAACGGGUGAGUAAUAUAUCGGAACGUACCCUAGAGUGGGGGAUAACGUAGCGAAAGUUACGCUAAUACCGCAUGCGAUCUAAGGAUGAAAGUGGGGGAUCGCAAGACCUCAUGCUCGUGGAGCGGCCGAUAUCUGAUUAGCUAGUUGGUAGGGUAAAAGCCUACCAAGGCAUCGAUCAGUAGCUGGUCUGAGAGGACGACCAGCCACACUGGAACUGAGACACGGUCCAGACUCCUACGGGAGGCAGCAGUGGGGAAUUUUGGACAAUGGGCGAAAGCCUGAUCCAGCAAUGCCGCGUGAGUGAAGAAGGCCUUCGGGUUGUAAAGCUCUUUUGUCAGGGAAGAAACGGUGAAAGCUAAUAUCUUUUGCUAAUGACGGUACCUGAAGAAUAAGCACCGGCUAACUACGUGCCAGCAGCCGCGGUAAUACGUAGGGUGCAAGCGUUAAUCGGAAUUACUGGGCGUAAAGCGUGCGCAGGCGGUUUUGUAAGUCUGAUGUGAGAUCCCCGGGCUCAACCUGGGAAUUGCAUUGGAGACUGCAAGGCUAGAAUCUGGCAGAGGGGGGUAGAAUUCCACGUGUAGCAGUGAAAUGCGUAGAUAUGUGGAGGAACACCGAUGGCGAAGGCAGCCCCCUGGGUCAAGAUUGACGCUCAUGCACGAAAGCGUGGGGGGGCAAACAGGAUUAGAU